AUUUAUAUAGUUUAAUAAUAAAACCUUACAUUUUCACUGUAAUAAAAAAGAAUCUUUCUUUUAUAAAUU
Molecule: transfer RNA, 69 nt
Filed under: Nephrotoma tenuipes
Lineage: Eukaryota; Metazoa; Arthropoda; Insecta; Diptera; Tipulidae
Description: tRNA-Glu
Rfam family: tRNA
About the family: Transfer RNA (tRNA) molecules are approximately 80 nucleotides in length.
Source: RNAcentral